Molecule: ribosomal RNA, 542 nt
Filed under: uncultured fungus
Lineage: Eukaryota; Fungi
Description: SSU rRNA
Rfam family: Eukaryotic small subunit ribosomal RNA
Source: RNAcentral
GUAGUCAUAUGCUUGUCUCAAAGAUUAAGCCAUGCAUGUCUAAGUAUAAGCAAUUAUACAGCGAAACUGCGAAUGGCUCAUUAUAUAAGUUAUCGUUUAUUUGAUAGUACCUUACUACUUGGAUAACCGCGGUAAUUCUAGAGCUAAUACAUGCUAAAAAUCCCGACUUCGGAAGGGAUGUAUUUAUUAGAUUAAAAACCAAUGCCCUUCGGGGCUCACUGGUGAUUCAUAAUAACUUCUCGAAUCGCAUGGCCUUGCGCCGGCGAUGGUUCAUUCAAAUUUCUUCCCUAUCAACUUUCGAUGCUAGAGUAGUGUUCUAGCAUGGUUACAACGGGUAACGGAGGGUUAGGGCUCGACCCCGGAGAAGGAGCCUGAGAAACGGCUACUACAUCCAAGGAAGGCAGCAGGCGCGCAAAUUACCCAAUCCCGACACGGGGAGGUAGUGACGAUAAAUACUGAUACAGGGCUCUUUUGGGUCUUGUAAUUGGAAUGAGUACAAUUUAAAUCCCUUAACGAGGAACAAUUGGAGGGCAAGUCUGGUG